GAAACACUUUAAGGGCAACUGCUUUCGCCAGAGGCUGAGCUAGCCAGAGAAGCGCUGGAGAAACCGGUGGAACAGUGAACCAUAUACAAAAAUAGGCUAGGAGUUCCUGGACUGGACCGGAAACGCUUGCAGAUGAGUGCCCUAAAUCUCCCAGAGAUGAUUUACCAGAGUUCGAGAUAUUGAUGAACCGGGACUGUAAGGCAGUGUUCAGCUUGCCCCACUUGUCAACCGGCUGAUUCCCCGAGUUUUACAUCCCCCUGGAAAAGAAAGCGAGUUCAACCGAACUGAGCUGCAAAUAGGACCAUUCUUAGUGGGAAAGUAUGAGGCCGUAUAUCUGUGGAACAGAAGAGAAAAACGCUCUAGACUGGUGGAUUUGGGAUUUUGUUUGUGUGAACCCUAGCAUUGUUUCUCCAAUUUAAACAACGAUUAGAGCUUCAUUCUCUUUUCUCCAAGGUCGCUUACAAUUAGAUCUUGAGCUGACAGUGCUGGCCGAGAUUUCCAAAGGUUAUCCGUUCGGUUUUGCUUGGUUCUUCUCUCAGUCUAGAGCACAAGGCCUGUUACAGCAAGCACCCACCAAAUUAACUAAACAUAAGAAUCCUGUUUGGUGUCCUAAUUCAGUGGCUACUUUUAUUAACUAUGGUUUCCUUAACUUUGUUGAAAUAUAAGAACAUUAAAAGGGCUACUUUCACUUUGCCUUCUAUCAGUGGCCUAUAAUAUCUUUUUUGGCGUUUCUUGCUUAUUAUUUUUCAACUCUUGGUACAAACUUGUAUUAGUCAGCUCUCAGUUUUAGAUAUUUCAGGUGUCUUCUCCCAGUUUGUUAUUCAUCUGUUAACUUGUCCAUAAUAUACUUAAUUUACGAGAAGUU
Molecule: long non-coding RNA, 865 nt
Organism: Cavia porcellus (domestic guinea pig)
Lineage: Eukaryota; Metazoa; Chordata; Mammalia; Rodentia; Caviidae
Exons: 2
Source: RefSeq, a predicted model, not a curated record